AGAGGAGUAGCUCAGUGGUAGAGUGUGUGCUUCACAUGCAUGAGGUCCUGGGUUCAAUCCCCAGCACCUCUA
This 72-nucleotide transfer RNA is filed under the name Camelus dromedarius (Arabian camel). It matches the Rfam family "tRNA". Rfam says of the family: Transfer RNA (tRNA) molecules are approximately 80 nucleotides in length. Lineage: Eukaryota; Metazoa; Chordata; Mammalia; Artiodactyla; Camelidae. RNAcentral also lists the same sequence under 1 other name. The record is from Rfam by way of RNAcentral.